Long non-coding RNA from Centrocercus urophasianus (Greater sage-grouse), 841 nucleotides. RefSeq lists it as uncharacterized. NCBI's taxonomy places the organism in Eukaryota, Metazoa, Chordata, Aves, Galliformes, Phasianidae. The record is from RefSeq and is a predicted model, not a curated record. The transcript is spliced from 3 exons.
CCCUGACCCUUGAGAGCAGAGUGUGCAGAUUUUCCCUGGUGAUUUCUGACUGCCCAGCAGAUGUUUCAAAGCUACUGGAAGUUUUGGCUCGGGAAGAAGCAAGGUAACUCAGACUGAUAACAGUGAAAUGGAGCACAAAGAGUUUUGGAUAUCAGACAAGAACGCACAUUUGUGACAUCGGAGCUCUUCAAUGUUGAGGUCACCUGCACCGUGGAGACCAGAGACAAGAUCCACACAGCCCAGCUGCGGAACGCGCUGCUGGAACGCUACCCCACAGCCGCGUGGACAGAGCGAUGACGAGCAGAGCACAGAUGGGGCUGAGGCCCCAGGACAAGUAUUUUGUGGAGCACUAAUCUUGAGGCAUUCAGAACAAAUAGUACCUUUUGGGGCUGAACGCUUAGCAAAUAGCUUCAGGAUAUUUAUUUCCUGCUCAAAACGUAGCACGUGUCCUUGGAAAUGAAGUUUAACUCGGAACUUUAGCUUAGCUAAAGGCCAUUUAAUAGUUUCUGCUAGUGUUGGAAUUCUCAGCUGGCUCACUGUUUUUUAGUAGAACGUAGAAUCCUAUGGCAUCCAGUGAAUAAACAGGAGAAGGCAUUUUUCUUGAUAUUUGAAUGUAGACCAUUGGGUUUUUGGAUACUGAUGCCACUAUUAAAGCAAUGUAGCUCCUUCUGCUGGGUUCUCCUAUAUCACUAGUACCAUCCUUUCUAUUUCCAAGCCAGAAGCUGAAUCUGCUUCAGGGAGGACAUAAGUGUGUGGGAGUGUGAAUGUAUUUAAGUUUGCAUAAGAGCUCUGCUAUCAUGAAAAAAUACUGUGCUAAUAAAAUGCAAUAUAAAGAAACUCU